GACGAACGCUGGCGGCGUGCUUAACACAUGCAAGUCGAACGGAAAGGCCCUGCUUUUGUGGGGUGCUCGAGUGGCGAACGGGUGAGUAACACGUGAGUAACCUGCCCUUGACUUUGGGAUAACUUCGGGAAACUGGGGCUAAUACCGGAUAGGAGCUCCUGCUGCAUGGUGGGGGUUGGAAAGUUUCGGCGGUUGGGGAUGGACUCGCGGCUUAUCAGCUUGUUGUUGGGGUAGUGGCUUACCAAGGCUUUGACGGGUAGCCGGCCUGAGAGGGUGACCGGCCACAUUGGGACUGAGAUACGGCCCAGACUCCUACGGGAGGCAGCAGUGGGGAAUAUUGCACAAUGGGCGGAAGCCUGAUGCAGCAACGCCGCGUGCGGGAUGACGGCCUUCGGGUUGUAAACCGCUUUCGCCUGUGACGAAGCGUGAGUGACGGUAAUGGGUAAAGAAGCACCGGCUAACUACGUG
RNAcentral lists this ribosomal RNA (468 nucleotides) under uncultured bacterium. Its description in RNAcentral is "partial 16S ribosomal RNA". It matches the Rfam family "Bacterial small subunit ribosomal RNA", at positions 28 to 507 of the family's 1533-position model. The record is from RNAcentral.